AGCGAACGCUGGCGGCAGGCCUAACACAUGCAAGUCGAACGAACCUUUCGGGGUUAGUGGCGGACGGGUGAGUAACACGUGGGAACGUGCCUUUAGGUUCGGAAUAACUCAGGGAAACUUGUGCUAAUACCGAAUGUGCCCUUCGGGGGAAAGAUUAAUCGCCUUUAGAGCGGCCCACGUCUGAUUAGCUAGUUGGUUGAGGUAAUGGCUCACCAAGGCGACGAUCAGUAGCUGGUCUGAGAGGAUGAUCAGCCACAUUGGGACUGAGACACGGCCCAAACUCCUACGGGAGGCAGCAGUGGGGAAUCUUGCGCAAUGGGCGAAAGCCUGACGCAGCCAUGCCGCGUGAAUGAUGAAGGUCUUAGGAUUGUAAAAUUCUUUCACCGGGGACGAUAAUGACGGUACCCGGAGAAGAAGCCCCGGCUAACUUCGUG
RNAcentral lists this ribosomal RNA (434 nucleotides) under uncultured bacterium. RNAcentral describes it as "partial 16S ribosomal RNA". It matches the Rfam family "Bacterial small subunit ribosomal RNA", at positions 29 to 507 of the family's 1533-position model. The record is from RNAcentral.